This 741-nucleotide ribosomal RNA is filed under the name uncultured Glomerales. RNAcentral's name for it is "LSU rRNA". It matches the Rfam family "Eukaryotic large subunit ribosomal RNA", at positions 38 to 633 of the family's 3401-position model. The record is from RNAcentral. Lineage: Eukaryota; Fungi; Glomeromycota; Glomeromycetes; Glomerales; Glomeraceae.
GCAUAUCAAUAAGCGGAGGAAAAGAAACCAACAGGGAUUGCCCCAGUAACGGCGAGUGAAGCGGCAACAGCUCAAAUUUGAAAUCUGGCCCUAGGCCCGAAUUGUAAUUUGUAGAGGAUGUUUCUGGCGCGGCGCCUUCCGAGUUCCCUGGAACGGGACGCCAUAGAGGGUGAGAGCCCCGUACGGUUGUGUGCUAAGCCUCUGUGAAACUCCUUCGACGAGUCGAGUAGUUUGGGAAUGCUGCUCAAAAUGGGAGGUAUACGUCUUCUAAAGCUAAAUACCGGCCAGAGACCGAUAGCGCACAAGUAGAGUGAUCGAAAGAUGAAAAGCACUUUGAAAAGGGGGUUAAACAGUACGUGAAAUUGUUGAAAGGGAAACGAUUGAAGCCAGUCGUACCGACGGGAAAUCAACUUCUCGAGUGCCUAUCGUGGGUGACGUUGAGCCUUACGGCCUUCGUUGCUUGUGUUGUUGGUGCUUUUGGGGUGUACUUUUCCGUAUGGUAGGUCAGCAUCGAUUUCGUUCGUCAUAAAAUGAUCGGGGGAAUGUAGCUUCGGUCUCGUAUCGGAGUGUUAUAGACCUUGGUAGAUGUGACGAUUGGGAUCGAGGAUUGCAACGAAUACCCUUUUGGGCUAUCCGUCUGGCCUCUGAAAGUCGCUCGGGUGUCGAAAGCUUGCUUACGGCUAUCUGAGUUGGCGGUCAACAGGUUAGAACGUGAUUACAUUCGUUAAGGAUGUUGACGUA